Non-coding RNA from Solanum lycopersicum (tomato), 91 nucleotides. The record is from Rfam. Lineage: Eukaryota; Viridiplantae; Streptophyta; Magnoliopsida; Solanales; Solanaceae.
GUAUUCCCUGGAGUUCCCUUGACCGCUUCAUUAGGGAUUACUUUAUUGUUUGAUGCCUUGCUGAAGUGUUUGGGGGAACUCUUGGACUCAC